ACCCUAUCUAUAUUGCGUCUGCUUUGAAUUUCUGCCUUAAGUAGUGCAAUAUCGCUUAUAGGGUUU
Molecule: microRNA precursor, 66 nt
Filed under: Callorhinchus milii (elephant shark)
Lineage: Eukaryota; Metazoa; Chordata; Chondrichthyes; Chimaeriformes; Callorhinchidae
Description: Cmi-Mir-130-P3a_pre stem-loop
Source: RNAcentral